AUUGAACGCUGGCGGAAUGCUUUACACAUGCAAGUCGAACGGCAGCACGGGGCAACCUGGUGGCGAGUGGCGAACGGGUGAGUAAUAUAUCGGAACGUGCCCAAUCGUGGGGGAUAACGUAGCGAAAGUUACGCUAAUACCGCAUACGAUCUACGGAUGAAAGCGGGGGAUCGCAAGACCUCGCGCGAAUGGAGCGGCCGAUAUCAGAUUAGGUAGUUGGUGGGGUAAAGGCUCACCAAGCCAACGAUCUGUAGCUGGUCUGAGAGGACGACCAGCCACACUGGAACUGAGACACGGUCCAGACUCCUACGGGAGGCAGCAGUGGGGAAUUUUGGACAAUGGGCGCAAGCCUGAUCCAGCCAUUCCGCGUGCAGGAUGAAGGCCUCGGUUGUAACUAGCUUUGUUACGGAACGAAACGGUACUGCCCUAAUACGUGGGCUAAUGACGGUACCGUAACGAAUAAGCACCGGCUAACUACGU
Molecule: ribosomal RNA, 480 nt
Filed under: uncultured bacterium
Lineage: Bacteria
Description: bacterial SSU rRNA
Rfam family: Bacterial small subunit ribosomal RNA
Source: RNAcentral